This 408-nucleotide ribosomal RNA is filed under the name uncultured bacterium. Its description in RNAcentral is "partial 16S ribosomal RNA". It matches the Rfam family "Bacterial small subunit ribosomal RNA", at positions 29 to 526 of the family's 1533-position model. The record is from RNAcentral.
AGUGAACGCUGGCGGCGUGCCUAAUACAUGCAAGUCGAACGGAGUGGCGCACGGGUGAGUAAUAUAUAGCUAACUUGCCCAGUACUAAGGGACAACAGUUGGAAACGACUGCUAAUACCUAAUAGUAAUGGAUAGGGCUCUACCGUAUCAGCUAGUUGGUAAGGUAACGGCUUACCAAGGCUAUGACGCGUAACAGGUCUGAGAGGAUGAUCAGACACACUGGAACUGAGACACGGUCCAGACUCCUACGGGAGGCAGCAGUAGGGCAUAUUGCUCAAUGGGGGAGACCCAGAAGCAGUAACGCCGCGUAGAGGAUGACACUUUUCGGAGCGUAAACUCCGUUUCUUGGGAAAGCGGUACCCAAGGAAUAAGCACCGGCUAACUCCGUGCCAGCCGCCGCGGUAAUUC